UUUCAACAGAGAUGGCAAGG
This 20-nucleotide non-coding RNA is filed under the name Rattus norvegicus (Norway rat). Lineage: Eukaryota; Metazoa; Chordata; Mammalia; Rodentia; Muridae. The record is from RNAcentral.